This 1551-nucleotide ribosomal RNA is filed under the name Salmonella enterica subsp. enterica. Its description in RNAcentral is "partial 23S ribosomal RNA". It matches the Rfam family "Bacterial large subunit ribosomal RNA", at positions 1292 to 2824 of the family's 2925-position model. The record is from RNAcentral. RNAcentral also lists the same sequence under 1 other name. Lineage: Bacteria; Pseudomonadati; Pseudomonadota; Gammaproteobacteria; Enterobacterales; Enterobacteriaceae.
GAAUGCUGACAUAAGUAACGAUAAAGCGGGUGAAAAGCCCGCUCGCCGGAAGACCAAGGGUUCCUGUCCAACGUUAAUCGGGGCAGGGUGAGUCGACCCCUAAGGCGAGGCCGAAAGGCGUAGUCGAUGGGAAACGGGUUAAUAUUCCCGUACUUGGUGUUACUGCGAAGGGGGGACGGAGAAGGCUAUGUUGGCCGGGCGACGGUUGUCCCGGUUUAAGCGUGUAGGUGUGUGUUCCAGGUAAAUCCGGUUCACUUUAACACUGAGGCGUGACGACGAGGCACUACGGUGCUGAAGCAACAAAUGCCCUGCUUCCAGGAAAAGCCUCUAAGCAUCAGGUAACAUCAAAUCGUACCCCAAACCGACACAGGUGGUCAGGUAGAGAAUACCAAGGCGCUUGAGAGAACUCGGGUGAAGGAACUAGGCAAAAUGGUGCCGUAACUUCGGGAGAAGGCACGCUGACACGUAGGUGAAGUGAUUUACUCAUGGAGCUGAAGUCAGUCGAAGAUACCAGCUGGCUGCAACUGUUUAUUAAAAACACAGCACUGUGCAAACACGAAAGUGGACGUAUACGGUGUGACGCCUGCCCGGUGCCGGAAGGUUAAUUGAUGGGGUCAGCGCAAGCGAAGCUCCUGAUCGAAGCCCCGGUAAACGGCGGCCGUAACUAUAACGGUCCUAAGGUAGCGAAAUUCCUUGUCGGGUAAGUUCCGACCUGCACGAAUGGCGUAAUGAUGGCCAGGCUGUCUCCACCCGAGACUCAGUGAAAUUGAACUCGCUGUGAAGAUGCAGUGUACCCGCGGCAAGACGGAAAGACCCCGUGAACCUUUACUAUAGCUUGACACUGAACAUUGAGCCUUGAUGUGUAGGAUAGGUGGGAGGCUUUGAAGUGUGGACGCCAGUCUGCAUGGAGCCGACCUUGAAAUACCACCCUUUAAUGUUUGAUGUUCUAACGUGGACCCGUUACCCGGGUUGCGGACAGUGUCUGGUGGGUAGUUUGACUGGGGCGGUCUCCUCCUAAAGAGUAACGGAGGAGCACGAAGGUUGGCUAAUCCUGGUCGGACAUCAGGAGGUUAGUGCAAUGGCAUAAGCCAGCUUGACUGCGAGCGUGACGGCGCGAGCAGGUGCGAAAGCAGGUCAUAGUGAUCCGGUGGUUCUGAAUGGAAGGGCCAUCGCUCAACGGAUAAAAGGUACUCCGGGGAUAACAGGCUGAUACCGCCCAAGAGUUCAUAUCGACGGCGGUGUUUGGCACCUCGAUGUCGGCUCAUCACAUCCUGGGGCUGAAGUAGGUCCCAAGGGUAUGGCUGUUCGCCAUUUAAAGUGGUACGCGAGCUGGGUUUAGAACGUCGUGAGACAGUUCGGUCCCUAUCUGCCGUGGGCGCUGGAGAACUGAGGGGGGCUGCUCCUAGUACGAGAGGACCGGAGUGGACGCAUCACUGGUGUUCGGGUUGUCAUGCCAAUGGCACUGCCCGGUAGCUAAAUGCGGAAGAGAUAAGUGCUGAAAGCAUCUAAGCACGAAACUUGCCCCGAGAUGAGUUCUCCCUGAGACUUAAA